This 72-nucleotide transfer RNA is filed under the name Photinia serratifolia. Its description in RNAcentral is "tRNA-Val". It matches the Rfam family "tRNA". From Rfam's summary of the family: Transfer RNA (tRNA) molecules are approximately 80 nucleotides in length. Their secondary structure includes four short double-helical elements and three loops (D, anti-codon, and T loops). Further hydrogen bonds mediate the characteristic L-shaped molecular structure. tRNAs have two regions of fundamental functional importance: the anti-codon, which is responsible for specific mRNA codon recognition, and the 3' end, to which the tRNAs corresponding amino acid is attached (by aminoacyl-tRNA synthetases). tRNAs cope with the degeneracy of the genetic code in two manners: having more than one tRNA (with a specific anti-codon) for a particular amino acid; and 'wobble' base-pairing, i.e. permitting non-standard base-pairing at the 3rd anti-codon position. The record is from RNAcentral. Lineage: Eukaryota; Viridiplantae; Streptophyta; Magnoliopsida; Rosales; Rosaceae.
AGGGCUAUAGCUCAGUUAGGUAGAGCACCUCGUUUACACAAGAGCGUGGAGGUUCGAGUCCGUAUAGCCCUA